GCAAAGUUGGUUUAGUGGUAUAAUUACCGCCUGCCAUUAUAUGGGCUAGUACCAGAGGUUCGCGGUAGACCCGGGUUCGAUUCCCGGACUUUGCA
Non-coding RNA from Paraphysoderma sedebokerense, 95 nucleotides. The record is from the annotation of a GenBank genome assembly. NCBI's taxonomy places the organism in Eukaryota, Fungi, Blastocladiomycota, Physodermatomycetes, Physodermatales, Physodermataceae.